AUUUAUGCUGUUUUGAACCAAUGCAUUAUAGUGUUUGUUACUUGAGUACAUUUCACUUGUGAUGUUGCAGACUGAGAAUUUAUAAUAGAAUUAGAUAAAAAUAUAUUUCACAUAAACCGACAAAUGACAUUGCGAUGUACAGAAGGCGAAACAGCCCAUCCAUUCCUUCCUGUACAGAUGUGGAGGAGGCUCUGCACUCCAAUGGAGAGCUGAUCCCUUGUAAGAUCUAUGGAAGGACCUUCUACACUACAGUCCUGGGAAGACAAACACACAGAUUUGUGUACAGAUUCAUGUUGCUUUCUCUGGUGAGCCACAGCUGUCUCACUGAUAUACACAUCCCCCAGGCUUCAUAAUUACACCCUUCCCUCUGCAGCAGAGUAAAACAUUGAUUAUGUUUUGAUAUGCUUACCAAACACUGGUGAGGUUAAGUAGCCAUGUUUACAGUAGCUAAAAAAAAAGGGAAGGCGGUGAUGAAAUAAUGACCACUAUCUGUGUUCUGGUGCCAAUUUCCACAGCAGUUGUCAUCAGAUGGAGGACAGAGUCAGCAGCAGCUGCUAGUCAUUGUGUUGCUGUAUUGCUGACUGAGUUAAGAAGAAACAUACCCCCCCCCAUCUGUCAGAAAGUACCAGCUAAGAAGAGGAAGGUGGUUGACUUUGGCAAGCAGAAGGCUGAGGGAACAGAGAUCUACAUGACCAAACGUGAGACAACACAUCACACGGUUCAUAGUAGGAGAACAGCUCCAACAACCAUGCCAAAGCUUGCCCCAGACUACUGUGAAAGAGGCUGUGGAAGGGACCCAGUGAUGAAUUGAAUGAAGACAAAGACCCACUCUACUGUAAAACAAGCCCACAUUUAUUAGCUAAAUGUGACCUAUAUAUGCAAAAGUAUGUGGACACCCAUUCAAAUGAGUGGAUUCUGUCAUUUCAGCCACACCUGUUGCUGACAGGUGUAUAAAAUCGAGAAAGAAAAAAAACAGUUUACAGAUUUUUAGAGAAUUGAUGUUUUAAUAGGUUAAAAAAAGGAAAAUUUUUAGUAAACAACAAUUUAAAAUAUUUAAGCUUUAAUAUGUUGUCAAUCUCAACCGUUAUUUUUUUCCAAUGAUGAAGACAUGGAUGUCUGAUUGUAUGGUGGGGUAUGCAAAAUAGGUCAACUUUGAGAACCUUUUAUGUAUCUUUUAUCUAUUUUGACAUUGAGGUCCAAAAAGUCACUUUUUGAGCACCUCUACCAGAGGUGGCUGGUAAUGGCUGGAGAGGAAUAGGUGGAAUGGUAUCAAAUACAUCAAACGGAAGAUUUCCAUGUAUUUCCCCUAUAUAGUCAACUAUUUUAUGCAGUUAUUUAUGCUAACUCUACUGUAAAACAAGCCUACAUUUGUUAACUGUGACCUACACUAUAUAUGCAAAAGUAUGUGGACACCCCUUCAAAUUAGUGGAUUCAGCUAUUUCAGCCACACCCGUUGCUGACAGGUGUCUAAAAUCGAAUACACAGAUAUGCAAUCUCCAUAGACAGACAUUGGCAGUAUAGUGGCCUUACUGAAUGUGGCACCGUCAUGGGAUGCCACCUUUCCAACAAGUCCGUUUGUCAAAUGUCUGCCCUGCUAGAGAUGCCCCGGGCAACUGUAAGUGCUGUUAUUGUGAAGUGGAAACUUCUAGGAAUAACAACAGCUCAGCUACUUAAGUGGUAGGUUACACAAGCUCACGGAAUGGGACCGCAGAAUACUAAAGUGCGUAGCAGGUAAAAAUCGUCUGUCCUCGGUUGCAACACUCGCUACCGGGUUCCAAACUGCCUCUGGAAGCAAUGUCAGCACAAUAACUUUUCGUCGGGAGUUUCAUGAAAUGGGUUUUCAUGGCGGAGCAGCCGCACACAAGCCUAAGAUCACCAUGAGCAAUACCAAGCGUCGGCUGGAGUGGUGUAAAGCUCGCUGCAAUUGUACUCUGGAGCAGUGGAAACACAUUAUCUGGAAUGAUGAAUUCACAUCUGGCAGUCCGACAGAAGAAUCUGGGUUUGGCAGAUGCCAGGAGAACGCCAAUGCGUCGUGCGAACUAUAAAGUUUCAUGGAGGACGAAUAAUGGUCUGGGGCUGUUUUUCAUGGUUCAGGCCCCUUAGUUCCAGUGAUGGGAAAUCUUAACCCUACAGCAAACAAUUACAUUAUAGACGAUUAUGUGCUUCCAACUUUGUGGCAACAGUUUGGGGAAGACCCUUUCCUGUUUCAGCAUGACAACGCCCCCGUGCACAAAGCAAGGUCCAUACACAAAUGGUUUGUUGAGAUCGGUGUGGAAGAUCUUGACUGUCCUGCACAGAUCCCUAACGUCAACCGCAUCAAACACCUUUGGGAUGAAUUGUAACGCAGACUGUGAGCCAGGGCUAAUCGCCCAACAUCAGUGCACGACUUCAUUAAUGCUCUAGUGGCAGAGUCUCUGCAGCAAAGGGGAGACCCAACUCCAUAUUAAUGCCCAUGAUUUUGUUCAACGAGCAGGUGUCCACAUACUUUUGGUCAUAUAGUGUAUAAUUUCUGUUUCCAGAUUUGUUAUAAUUUAGCGCAAACAACUACCUCUUUCCUUACUGUAUUUAAUUAAUUUAUUUAUUUUGCUCCUUUGCACCCCAUUAUUUGUAUUUCUACUUUGCACAUUCUUCCAUUGCAAAUCUACCAUUCCAGUGUUUUACUUGCUAUAUUGUAUUUACUUUGCCACCAUGGCCUUUUUUUGCCUUUACCUCCCUUCUCACCUCAUUUGCUCACAUCGUAUAUAGACUUGUUUAUACUGUAUUAUUGACUGUAUGUUUGUUUUACUUCAUGUGUAACUCUGUGUCGUUGUAUCUGUCGAACUGCUUUGCUUUAUCUUGGCCAGGUCGCAAUUGUAAAUGAGAACUUGUUCUCAACUUGCCUACCUGGUUAAAUAAAAAAAUAUAUACCUUAAACCACUUAUGUAUUUCAGUCAAAACUAGGGCUGUGAAAGUAAGUUGAAUAGUCUUUAUUUUACGUAUGUUUGUGUGGUUAUGAAACAGAUCAUUGCUGUGUGUAUUAGCUAGAGUAUUCAAAUGUGUAUUGGCCCAGCCCUUUGGGCACUGCAUCUUGCUCUAUUGUGUUAGAAGCAUAAUUAGAAACAGUAGCCUGACAUCGGUAGUG
This 3121-nucleotide long non-coding RNA is filed under the name Oncorhynchus kisutch (coho salmon). Its description in RNAcentral is "lncRNA (ENSOKIG00005016982.1)". The record is from RNAcentral. Lineage: Eukaryota; Metazoa; Chordata; Actinopteri; Salmoniformes; Salmonidae.